RNAcentral lists this ribosomal RNA (119 nucleotides) under Pteropus alecto (black flying fox). Lineage: Eukaryota; Metazoa; Chordata; Mammalia; Chiroptera; Pteropodidae. The record is from RNAcentral.
AUCUAUGGCCAUGCUACCCUGAACACGCCCGAUCCCGUCUGAUCUCGGAAGCUAAGCAGGGUCGGGCCUGGUUAGUACUUGGAUGGGAGACCACAUAGGAAGACCAGGUGCUAUAGGCG